RNAcentral lists this ribosomal RNA (226 nucleotides) under uncultured bacterium. RNAcentral's name for it is "partial 16S ribosomal RNA". It matches the Rfam family "Bacterial small subunit ribosomal RNA", at positions 15 to 231 of the family's 1533-position model. The record is from RNAcentral.
GAUCCUGGCUCAGGAUGAACGCUAGCUACAGGCUUAACACAUGCAAGUCGAGGGGCAGCAUGGUCUUUAGCUUGCUAAGGCCGAUGGCGACCGGCGCACGGGUGAGUAACACGUAUCCAACCUGCCGUCUACUCUUGGACAGCCUUCUGAAAGGAAGAUUAAUACAAGAUGGCAUCAUGAGUCCACAUGUUCACAUGAUUAAAGGUAUUCCGGUAGGCGAUGGGGA